This 439-nucleotide ribosomal RNA is filed under the name uncultured bacterium. RNAcentral describes it as "partial 16S ribosomal RNA". It matches the Rfam family "Bacterial small subunit ribosomal RNA", at positions 339 to 795 of the family's 1533-position model. The record is from RNAcentral.
CUACGGGUGGCACCAGUGGGGAAUCCUAGACAAUGGGCGCAAGCCUGAUCUAGCCAUGCCGCGUGAGUGACGAAGGCCUUAGGGUCGUAAAGCUCUUUCGCUGGGGAAGGUAAUGACGGUACCCAGUAAAGAAACCCCGGCUAACUCCGUGCCAGCAGCCGCGGUAAUACGGAGGGGGUUAGCGUUGUUCGGAAUUACUGGGCGUAAAGCGCGCGUAGGCGGAUCAGAAAGUUGGGGGUGAAAUCCCGGGGCUCAACCCCGGAACUGCCUUCAAAACUCCUGGUCUUGAGUUCGAGAGAGGUGAGUGGAAUUCCGAGUGUAGAGGUGAAAUUCGUAGAUAUUCGGAGGAACACCAGUGGCGAAGGCGGCUCACUGGCUCGAUACUGACGCUGAGGUGCGAAAGCGUGGGGAGCAAACAGGAUUAGAUACCCCGGUAGUC